GCGAGUGAACCGGGAAGAGCUCAAAUUUGAAAUCUGGCAGUCUUCGAUUGUCCGAGUUGUAAUCUAUAGAAGCGUUUUCCGUGCUGAACUGUGUAUAAGUCCCUUGGAACAGGGUAUCAAAGAGGGUGACAAUCCCGUACUUUACACAAUCAUCAGUGCUCUGUGAUACGUUCUCUACGAGUCGAGUUGUUUGGGAAUGCAGCUCAAAAUGGGUGGUAAAUUCCAUCUAAAGCUAAAUAUUGGCGAGAGACCGAUAGCGAACAAGUACCGUGAGGGAAAGAUGAAAAGCACUUUGGAAAGAGAGUUAAACAGUACGUGAAAUUGUUGAAAGGGAAACGAUUGAAGUCAGUCGUGUUCAUUGGACUCAGCCGGUUUUCGGUGUAUUUCCUUUGAACGGGUCAACAUCAGUUUUGUCCGGUGGAUAAAGGUAGUAGGAAGGUGGCUCCCCCGGGAGUGUUAUAGCCUAUUACUGCAUACACUGGAGGAGACUGAGGACUGCAGCUUGCCUUUAUGGCCGGGGUUCGCCCACGUUCAAGCUUAGGAUGUUGACAUAAUGGCUUUAAACGACCC
This 570-nucleotide ribosomal RNA is filed under the name Trichosporon sp. EN2S15. Its description in RNAcentral is "eukaryotic LSU rRNA". It matches the Rfam family "Eukaryotic large subunit ribosomal RNA", at positions 89 to 650 of the family's 3401-position model. The record is from RNAcentral. Lineage: Eukaryota; Fungi; Basidiomycota; Tremellomycetes; Trichosporonales; Trichosporonaceae.